AAACCAACCGGGAUUGCCUUAGUAACGGCGAGUGAAGCGGCAAAAGCUCAAAUUUGAAAUCUGGUACCUUCGGUGCCCGAGUUGUAAUUUGGAGAGGGCAACUUUGGGGCCGUUCCUUGUCUAUGUUCCUUGGAACAGGACGUCAUAGAGGGUGAGAAUCCCGUGUGGCGAGGAGUG
Molecule: ribosomal RNA, 177 nt
Filed under: uncultured Saccharomyces
Lineage: Eukaryota; Fungi; Ascomycota; Saccharomycetes; Saccharomycetales; Saccharomycetaceae
Description: partial 26S ribosomal RNA
Rfam family: Eukaryotic large subunit ribosomal RNA
Source: RNAcentral